CCUACGGGCGGCAGCAGUGGGGAAUAUUGGACAAUGGGGGGAACCCUGAUCCAGCCAUGCCGCGUGUGUGAAGAAGGCCCUCGGGUUGUAAAGCACUUUCAGUGAGGAAGAACGCCUGGUGGUUAAUACCCAUCAGGAAAGACAUCACUCACAGAAGAAGCACUGGCUAACUCCGUGCCAGCAGCCGCGGUAAUACGGAGGGUGCGAGCGUUAAUCGGAAUUACUGGGCGUAAAGCGCGCGUAGGUGGCUUGAUAAGCCGGUUGUGAAAGCCCCGGGCUCAACCUGGGAACGGCAUCCGGAACUGUCAAGCUAGAGUGCAGGAGAGGAAGGUAGAAUUCCCGGUGUAGCGGUGAAAUGCGUAGAGAUCGGGAGGAAUACCAGUGGCGAAGGCGGCCUUCUGGACUGACACUGACACUGAGGUGCGAAAGCGUGGGUAGCAAACAGGAUUAGAUACCCCGGUAGUC
This 465-nucleotide ribosomal RNA is filed under the name Vreelandella stevensii. RNAcentral describes it as "partial 16S ribosomal RNA". It matches the Rfam family "Bacterial small subunit ribosomal RNA", at positions 338 to 795 of the family's 1533-position model. The record is from RNAcentral. Lineage: Bacteria; Pseudomonadati; Pseudomonadota; Gammaproteobacteria; Oceanospirillales; Halomonadaceae.